This is a long non-coding RNA of Xyrauchen texanus (razorback sucker), 3385 nucleotides long. RefSeq lists it as uncharacterized. NCBI's taxonomy places the organism in Eukaryota, Metazoa, Chordata, Actinopteri, Cypriniformes, Catostomidae. The transcript is spliced from 3 exons. The record is from RefSeq and is a predicted model, not a curated record.
CACAAACGUCAAAAUACAAUAACACAAUACAUAAGGCAGGUUAAAGAAUUGGAAUACAUUUAACUACACAUCUUGAAGAAAUAAAGAAACAACAACAUAGAAAACCAACAAAUUAGAAAAGAAAAUACAAAUACAAACACCCCAUUUCCCCCACAGACAAUCUGCUGGUUGGUAGCGACAAGCGGAACUAAAGCCGCGGUCGAGGCGCCGUGCCGGUCCUUUACAUGCACGGACCGGAAAUCCGGAAACUCGGCGACCACUAUUCACAGCCCACAGCUCCAGCCAUCCACUCCACAGCGGUAACUUAAACUCAAAGAAAUCAAUAUUAAUAAAAGUAUGUACCGUACACCAUAAACUAGAAUGUGUGCACUCCAACUAGUUAAUGAUUUAACAAAACUUAAACAUAUAAAUGAGAAAGAAACCGUGUCUAAAUCUUAUUGCCAUAUACAUAUGCUAUGAAUAGAGAAACCAUUAAGUGAUUUAUCCGGUACAUGUUUGAGCUUCUCGUUUCCGUUCAAAGCAUGUGUCUGUGUGUUUAUGUGCUAUGUAUGUAUAACAUUAAUGCUCACUUACGUGUGGCUGCAUCGUGGGCCAUCACACUGAGAAACUGUGAUAUACAAUUAACUAAAUUGUUGUAUUGAUUCCGAUCUUUGCGACACACUCUAAUGGCGAAAUCGUCAGGAUUCGUACGACUUUUCUGAAUGUGGCUAAUUCGUAUGAUAUAGUGCAACUGCACUCGUUUGAACUCCUACGACUUUCACUACAGCCAAUGACGUUGCUGGACAUUGUUUCCAUCUAGUACGCCACUAUUACUUGCUUCUGUCACACACACAACAGCUUCUUAUCCUGUUUACACACACUACUGAUUGGUUAAGUUUGGGUAAGGGCAUAAUAUUAAUAAGUAUUUCAAGAACUCAAGCAUUAGACAUUCAGGAAUUUGCACGUGAAGUCGUACAAUUUAUAUGAACAUCAUCAUGCGAGACCAUAUGAACACUUUAACAGUUAGGGGCGUUCGGGCUACAAAAUAUAAAUAAAAUAUAGCAAAAAUCAAGAUAUAAUUGCAAAAAUCAAUGACUGUUGAUAAUCAAUCUUUUUUUUUUAUCUCUGCAACAGAUUUUUAGGCAGCAAUGAUUUUGCCACACAUCUUUUUUUUGCGAUAUAUACUAAUUAUUUUGCAACGCUCCUUUUAAUCUGCAUUUACAUCAUGUGUGAGUUCGUGAUGCCGUUUUGCCUUAAAGUGAAAUGCACAGAAAAGCGCAAUGUUUUGAUGUGGGGGUGGAGUCAGGAGAUUGGGGCGUGUACAACAGCCCGUUACGUCAUUAGCUUGCGACAUGGCCGAGCGGAGGCCUGCGGGUCGAUCUCAGGUGUGUAAAGUUGAUUGUUUCCUUUUAUUUAAUUAGCAUUAAAUGUGUAUUAACAGCGUUUGCUUCAGAUAAAGAAGUUAGAGAUCAGUUAAAGCGCUGGAUUUAUUAGCCAUACUCGCUAACGUUAGCCAGCAGCUUUGGAUAGUGUACAUAUUUGUAAGGAAUUAUUAAUGUGUGCCAUCACAAUUAUGCCAUCAGUGUUGAACUGGGAAAGAUGAUAAUGGAGAGACGCAUGGAGUUGCCAACCAUUGGAUUUAGACUACUUUCAGUUUGUAUGCAACCAUGAGCUUUUCAUCACCUCAGUGUAUAAUCAAAUUACAGUCUCAGAAGUGUAUAACUGCCCUUGAAGUGUAAUAUGGAGUAAAGGGACCUCCAAAGUGUAUCAUUUCCAGAGAGUAUCUUCAGAAACUAGUGAAUAUGCGGCUGUCUGUUCCAUGUAUUGCCCAGAUCCUUGGUGUGUCAACAAGGACUAUCAAUGGUUGUCUCAAUGAGUAUGGCAUUUCUGUAAAACACACCUACGAGGAGGAGGUUGAAAGUCCACACCUAGGGCAUAGAAUGAUGAAAGGACGGUUGCAAGCACUGGGUCACCGUGUGCCAUGGACAGGUGUUUGAGACUCCAUGCAUCGAGAGGACGCUGCUGGACUACAAGGAUGACACCGUUGAGGUGUAUAGUCAGGACACAAACCACAAGCUUAUAAGAGUUCGAGGAGACAAUGUGGAGAUCGCUAGGUGCAUGUUUGCUGUGGGAGGGGAAAUUACAUGUCAGGAAGACACGUGCAUAACCAGCGCAUUGAACGCCUUUGGCGUGACAAAUGAAUGGUGGAUACAAACAUCUUAGAAGGGUUACUUGAUCCAACCAACAGCCUGCCCUCCAGGCCCCUUCCAAACCCUGUUACUCCUCCAGAAUGUGAGGUCUCAUAGUGUUGUAAAUUGCACAGAACAAGUUAAUUUAUAAACUUUCACCUAAUGUAUUGCACCAAUAAAACAUGUCCAUCCACUUUUCACAGAAUGUGCAAGACAAAGACUGACUGGGACACAGCCAGUCCAGUCGAAUGGCCUUUGACUGAAGAACAUGUGGCCCAAUCUCACAACAAAUAUGUAACCGUACUAACUUUUGUGCUCCAUUCUUAACUGACAGUGUCUAAUCAGGCACUUUACAAUGAAUCAUCACUCCAUAGGCAGGACAUUUAUUUGUAAUACAUUUUUUUUUAUUAUUCAUACAAAGUGAGAAGAACAUGUGCACAGUCAGUAGGAUGCAUUGCUUGUAUUUUAAACUCCAGUGUCCAAAUGGAUGGCUUGCAACAUGACUGUUUUGAAUGAUUUAUAAUUAUGUGUGCUGUAGGAAAUGUAAACUGUAUUAUACAGGGGACAGUUAGGGGCAUCCUCUACAAGCAAGAGAACAAUAUAGCUGACAUUAAAUGACCUAAAACUAAGUGGACAUGUAGAAAGUUUGUAUGACAGUUGUUAAUUUCUCUUGCUAACUGUGAGGUUCCAUAUCAGAUACAUAAAAUCUUGUCUUGCAUACCAGCACUUUCAAUUUCCUGAAGAAAAUCUUGUAGGAAGUUGAUUUGGGAAUAAUGCUCUGCAUCAACCUGUGGGAUGACACAACAAAUAUGCAUGUUCAGGUACUGAGAGCACCACUAAUAAAGAUGUUUAUCGCUUGUGAAAUAAACGAUGAAAUUAGUAGAGGACAGUACCUCAGAAUAUGUGACAAUCUAUAACCCAGUAAAUAAUACAAUUAAAUACAGAUGGGGUCUCAAUGAAUGAUACCUUAUCGUCCACUGCACACAAAGAAAUGUUGGCAAAGUCCUGAAUGUUCUUGCGAGAUGUGCACUUGGGAUCAGAUGCAGGGUUGCAUGCAGCACAACAGCUCUGGAAUAAUCAUACAUUUUUAAUAAAAAAUCUGGUAUAAAACACCAAUCAGCCAUAACAUGGUGCAGUUGGCACCAUUCGGAGUAAAUUCUAGAGGCUGUUGUGCAUGAAAAUCCCAGAAAUACUCAAACCAGCCCAUCUGGCACAAA